GCAUCCAUAGCUCAGUUGGAUAGAGUUACAGACUUCGAAUCUGGGGGCCGGGAGUUCAAGUCUCCCUGGGUGCA
This 74-nucleotide transfer RNA is filed under the name Clostridium acidisoli DSM 12555. It matches the Rfam family "tRNA". From Rfam's summary of the family: Transfer RNA (tRNA) molecules are approximately 80 nucleotides in length. Their secondary structure includes four short double-helical elements and three loops (D, anti-codon, and T loops). Lineage: Bacteria; Bacillati; Bacillota; Clostridia; Eubacteriales; Clostridiaceae. The record is from Rfam by way of RNAcentral.